Dermochelys coriacea (leatherback sea turtle) is the source of this 202-nucleotide long non-coding RNA. RefSeq lists it as uncharacterized. NCBI's taxonomy places the organism in Eukaryota, Metazoa, Chordata, Testudines, Dermochelyidae. The record is from RefSeq and is a predicted model, not a curated record. The transcript has 3 exons.
UUGUAACUUGUUCCUGAAGUGACUACAGGACUCUGGGAGUACGGGUGAAAGAGUUCAGAGUGCAGGUGGUAUUCUCUUCAGUCCUUCCAGUCAAGGGUAGGGGCCCAGGCAGAGACAGAUGCAUCCUGGAGGUGAAUGCCUGGCUACGAAGAUGGAGUCACCAGGAGGGCUACGGCUUCCUUGACCCCAGGAUGCUGUUCCA